UGGGGAAUAUUGCACAAUGGGCGCAAGCCUGAUGCAGCCAUGCCGCGUGUAUGAAGAAGGCCUUCGGGUUGUAAAGUACUUUCAGCGGGGAGGAAGGCGAUAAGGUUAAUAACCUUGUCGAUUGACGUUACCCGCAGAAGAAGCACCGGCUAACUCCGUGCCAGCAGCCGCGGUAAUACGGAGGGUGCAAGCGUUAAUCGGAAUUACUGGGCGUAAAGCGCACGCAGGCGGGCUGUCAAGUCGGAUGUGAAAUCCCCGGGCUCAACCUGGGAACUGCAUUCGAAACUGGCAGGCUAGAGUCUUGUAGAGGGGGGUAGAAUUCCAGGUGUAGCGGUGAAAUGCGUAGAGAUCUGGAGGAAUACCGGUGGCGAAGGCGGCCCCCUGGACAAAGACUGACGCUCAGGUGCGAAAGCGUGGGGAGCAAACA
Molecule: ribosomal RNA, 427 nt
Filed under: uncultured bacterium
Lineage: Bacteria
Description: partial 16S ribosomal RNA
Rfam family: Bacterial small subunit ribosomal RNA
Source: RNAcentral